This is a non-coding RNA of Macaca mulatta (Rhesus monkey), 618 nucleotides long. The record is from RefSeq and is a predicted model, not a curated record. Lineage: Eukaryota; Metazoa; Chordata; Mammalia; Primates; Cercopithecidae.
ACAAGGACAUUGGGAUUUGGGGUUUAGCCUGAGUGAGACGGAAAGUCUGGGAGGGGUUGGAGCAGGGCAGGGCUGUGACCCACCACCCUGCCUGCUGCCUAAGAAUAGACUGUGAGAUAUUCUCAGGGAACUCACUGAAAGAAGUUUCUGAGCUUUCUUCCCAGAAUUGUGGAAGCCAAGCCUGGAAAAGAUCAGGUCUCUGAAGAUGGCGGUGUGUGAUUCCAAGCCAACAUGGCCUUUGAUCUACGGUGCUGUCAGAGCUCUUGGUGACCCUCACCUGCAUGUAGAGCAAAUCUAAGGCCGCCCUGCAGUCCAUCAGCAUGGAGUCGAGGGAUGGAUCCAUAUACCUGCAAAAUUCAGGAGCGCGAAAUUCAUUCCUGUGACAUGGCUCAUGGACACACCUGGCAAGUGCUUUGGAAAGUGGUGGCCCUCUACCCUAUGAACCGGGGCCCCCUUUUCUAACAAAACCACACCUCCACUCGCCCAGCUUUCACUCUGCCCCUCCACCUCUUUUGUUUCCUAAUUUCUUUACACUGUAAGCUCUUACCUGGAGGGCUCUGAGAGUAAAGAGGCACAAAAAAUAAAGCUUUAGGGGAAUGGUCUGCAUCCCUGUUCAUA